Erigeron canadensis is the source of this 331-nucleotide long non-coding RNA. RefSeq lists it as uncharacterized. The record is from RefSeq and is a predicted model, not a curated record. The transcript is spliced from 2 exons. Lineage: Eukaryota; Viridiplantae; Streptophyta; Magnoliopsida; Asterales; Asteraceae.
GGUUAACUAGAGUGAAAGACAAUGAAGAUUUUUGGGAAACAUAUAUAUCCAAGACAAAUUAUACUAUUUGCAGCAGGGAUGCUGGUGUUUGGAGCAACAAGUUAUGAUGUACAUAGAUCAAUAAAAAACAAUGAACAGCCACCUUCUAAACAACAGAUUCAAGCCAUGGAAGACUACCUUUCCUCCAAACGUCAUCCACCUGCAGCUUGAUCAUCAUAUCUUAUUCUUUUUUUUUCUUUUUUUUUUUUUUUCUUUUAAUAUUUGCCGCUCUUAUUUUGCCACGUUGAUGCAUGUAUGACCCUACACAUAAUAUAUAAUAUAUUUACUCGUA